RNAcentral lists this ribosomal RNA (269 nucleotides) under uncultured archaeon. Its description in RNAcentral is "partial 16S ribosomal RNA". It matches the Rfam family "Archaeal small subunit ribosomal RNA", at positions 718 to 982 of the family's 1478-position model. The record is from RNAcentral.
AGUCACUGACAUUAGAUACCCCCCGUAGUCCAGGGUGUAAACGCUGCAGACUUGGUGUUGGGAACCCUUCGGGGGGUGCUCAGUGCCGGAGAGAAGUUGUUAAGUCUGCUACUUGGGGGAGUACGUCCGCAAGGAUGAAACUUAAAGGAAUUGGCGGGGGAGCACCGCAACGGGAGGAGCGUGCGGUUUAAUUGGAUUCAACGCCGAAAAACUCACCAGCAGCGACUGUUACAUGAAAGUCAGGUUGAUGACCUUACUAGAUUUUUCAG